This 349-nucleotide ribosomal RNA is filed under the name eubacterial soil DNA clone S-36. Its description in RNAcentral is "bacterial SSU rRNA". It matches the Rfam family "Bacterial small subunit ribosomal RNA", at positions 847 to 1193 of the family's 1533-position model. The record is from RNAcentral.
CUAAGCGAAAGUGAUAAGUAUCCCACCUGGGGAGUACGUUCGCAAGAAUGAAACUCAAAGGAAUUGACGGGGGCCCGCACAAGCGGUGGAGCAUGUGGGUUAAUAGGAUGAUACGCCAAGAACCUUACCAGGGCUUGACAUGGACGGGACACCCUAUGAAAGUAGGUCUCCUGGGCAACCAGGUCCGUUCACAGAUGGUGCAUGGUUGUCGUCAGCUCGUGCCGUGAGGUGUUGGGUUAAGUCCCGCAACGAGCGCAACCCUCGCUAGCUGUUGCCAUCGGGUUAUGCCGGGCACUCUGUAGGAACUGCCUGAGUAAUCAGGAGGAAGGAGAGGACGACGUCAAAUCUG